RNAcentral lists this ribosomal RNA (253 nucleotides) under uncultured bacterium. Its description in RNAcentral is "partial 16S ribosomal RNA". It matches the Rfam family "Bacterial small subunit ribosomal RNA", at positions 524 to 776 of the family's 1533-position model. The record is from RNAcentral.
GACAGAGGGUGCAAACGUUGUUCGGAAUUACUGAGCGUAAAGCGUGUGUAGGCGGCCUCGCAAGUCGGAUGUGAAAGCCCCGGGCUCAACCCGGGAAGUGCACUCGAUACUGCUUGGCUAGAGUCUCGGAGAGGUUGGUGGAAUUCUCGGUGUAGAGGUGAAAUUCGUAGAUAUCGAGAGGAACACCGGUGGCGAAGGCGGCUAACUGGACGAAGACUGACGCUGAGACACGAAAGCGUGGGGAGCAAACAGG